RNAcentral lists this ribosomal RNA (445 nucleotides) under uncultured bacterium. RNAcentral describes it as "bacterial SSU rRNA". It matches the Rfam family "Bacterial small subunit ribosomal RNA", at positions 28 to 521 of the family's 1533-position model. The record is from RNAcentral.
GACGAACGCUGGCGGUGUGCUUCACACAUGCAAGUCGAACGAGGUAGCAAUACCUAGUGGCGGACGGGUGAGUAACGCGUGGGAAUCUGCCUUUAGAUGGGGGAUAACGGGUCGAAAGACUCGCUAAUACCGCAUAUGACGAAAGUUGAAAGGAGUAAUCCGUCUAAAGAUGAGCCCGCGUCCGAUUAGCUAGUUGGUAGAGUAAAAGCCUACCAAGGCGACGAUCGGUAGCUGGUCUGAGAGGAUGAUCAGCCACAAUGGGACUAGAGACACGGCCCAUACUCCUACGGAGGCAGCAGUGGGAAUUUACGCAAUGGCGAAAGCCUGACGUAGCGACACCGCGUGAGCGAAGAAGCCCUGGGGUGUAAAGCUCUGUCAGCUGGAACGAAAAAAUGACGGUACCAGCAGAGAAGCAUCGGCUAACUAACGUGCCAGCAGCCGCGGU